This 416-nucleotide long non-coding RNA is filed under the name Brassica napus (rape). RNAcentral describes it as "long non-coding RNA (BNAP_LNC018530)". The record is from RNAcentral. Lineage: Eukaryota; Viridiplantae; Streptophyta; Magnoliopsida; Brassicales; Brassicaceae.
GGAAUUUGGGAUCUGAUAUAUUAAUUUAAUGGUAUUUGCAAUGUAUAUGAUUUUGAAUUCGAUGGAUUAUUUAGGAGGAGCUGGGACAUUUAACAGACUAUUAUCAUUAAAAAUCAAUGCAACAUCAUGGUUUGUGGUAUAUCGCAGUAUAUGUUAAAAGAUUUUUAAAAAUUGAUUUGGUUUCCUAUGACAUCAAAGUUCACUUUUAGAAAAAACUUCAGAAUUAACCUUGUUUGAACUGAAGUAGUAUAAGGAUGGGUGACCUAUAGUCAAAAAGAUUUUCGUUACUAUGUGAAUAAGGCCAAAACACAUGGAAAGUGUCACAUCCAGUCCCGCCAGUAUGUGGGCUUUUUUUUUUAUGAGUUUGGACAAAAGCCCAUCUUCUCUCUUCUUUUAUUUCUGGCCCACGUAAUAAA